AUACUUACCUGGCAUUUCCAUGAUAACAAAGAUGGUUUCCCCAGGGCGGGCAAGGCUUAUUCAUUGCACUCCAGAUAUGCUGACCCUUUCAAUUUCCCCAAAUGUGGGAAACUCAACUGCAUAAUUUGUGGUAAUGGGGUCCGCAUUUUCACUCUCCCCUA
Molecule: small nuclear RNA, 161 nt
Organism: Suncus etruscus (white-toothed pygmy shrew)
Lineage: Eukaryota; Metazoa; Chordata; Mammalia; Eulipotyphla; Soricidae
Product: U1 spliceosomal RNA
Exons: 1
Source: RefSeq, a predicted model, not a curated record